UUUCGCUUUUUCAUUUAUUUUGCUUUACAUUUUAUUUUUUUCCUUUCUCCUUUUUCUAUUUCUUUCUUUUUAUUUACUUUUCUAUUUGUUUUUCAUUUUAUUUUAUUUCCAUUAGCAGUAGCGCUCUUCGUAGGAAACGCGCUACUACUUAUGCCCUAGCGGUGGCGCGCUUCUUCCAAGCCCGCUACUGCUAUGGGUAGCCUAGCGUUCUAGCAAUGAGAAUAUUAGUAGUAGCACUUUUACGACCACACGCGCUACUGCUAUCUAGCACUAGCGCCCUUUUUUGACCCGCGCUGCUGCUAAAUUUCAGUGUAUAAGGUUUUCCCUAGUAGUAGUGUCUCUUUGAAGUAGGGUUGCUCAUGUAAAGGUUCUCUCAACCGGUUUUGUGAAAAUCUCAGAAGCUUCCCAUUGGGUUUUUUCCUCUUCUGGUUUUUUGUCAGGGUUUUUACUCGUAUAUUUUUUAUUUUCCUGUUUCCAUUUUCAUUUUCAUUUUUGAAAUUCAUUUACAUUUUGAAAUUUACAUUUUUAAAUUCAUGAACAUAUUUCCAAGUUCAUGAACAUUUUUUCAAAGAAUAAAUAUAUUAAAAUUUAUAUUUUCUAAAAUUUGUGAACUUUUCUCUUCCUUAACCUUUCCAAUUCAUAUUUUGUUUCAAAUUUGUGAACAUUUUUUAAUUCAUGAACUUUUUCAAAUUUUCAAAAUUUUAAAAGUACUGAAGUUUUUUCAAAUUCACGAACUUAUUUAAAUCCAUGAACAUUUAUUCGAAGUACAAAUAUGCAAUCUAUAAAGAACCAGUGAUUCUUUUUUUUUCUUCUAAACCAGUAGCUGCUGGUUUUUGCUGAAAUUGCAGCGAGCGAGCCGGGCCAUCGGCCCAGCUGUGCGCGCGCCGAAGGCCCUAACGAGGACCUCCCUUAGAUUGAUGUAAAAAAAGAUUGAUGUCAAAAAAAGAAAAAAAAGUCUGAAAAAAGAUAGAAAAAGGAGCUCCCUUCUAAACAUCGCUCCAGCAACCCGUCAAAAAGAAAAACAUCGCUUCAGCAUAUUACACAUCUACUCAUGGGUGCAAGACUGUUGCAUCCCGCUGGCCACUGGCCGCUGCCUGAGCAUUUCCGCAGCGCCGCCGCCCCUCCCCACCCCUGCGGCCCCGCCUGCUGGCUGCUCCGCGCAUUCCCCUCCGCCCCUCGGCCCCGGCGGUCAGGUGCUCUCCCGAUCUCCGCGGCCGCCAUGCUGCCGGCUCCUGCCUCCGUUGCGCCGCCCAAGUCGAGGAGCGCCGACACCGAUUCGCCGCCCAAGUCAAGGAAACUAUUGGAUACACCUUCUAUCACAGAUCCGAAAGGCAAGACUUUUGUUGCUAAAUUCGGAAACUUUCUGGAGAAGGAGUUUCUCUCGAAAGAAGUGAGUGGGAGGAAAGUAGAACUUGACGAGGUAACUGUACCUGCUCCCUUACUGGAAAGUAGUUCAUCACAGAAAACUGUUUCAGUGACAUCUACACCAGUCAGUGAGGAAGCCAAUGAUAAUGAUCAUGAAACUUCAGAUCAAGAUACUACUGAACUUCGUAGAUCAACCAGAGUAAGAUCCGCACCAGAGUGGUACGGUAAUCCUGUUCUGGAGGUCAUGCUACUAGAUCAUGAUGAACCUACGAACUAUGAAGAAGCGAUGGUGAGCCCAGAUUCCGCAAAGUGGCUAGAAGCCAUGAAAUCUGAGAUAUGAUCCAUGUAUGAGAACAAAGUGUAGACUUUGAUUGACUUGCCCGAUGAUCGGUGAGUCAUUAAGAAUAAAUGGAUCUUCAAGAGGAAGACAGACGUUGAUAGAAGUGUUACUAUCUACAAAGCUAGACUUGUCGAAAAAGGUUUUUGACAAAGUUCAAGGUGUUGAAUACGAUGAGAUUUUCUUGCUCGUAUCGAUGCUUAAAAGUCUGUCCGAAUCAUGUUAGCAAUUGCCGCAUUUUAUGAAAUCUGGCAAAUGGAUAAACAAAACUGCAUUCCUUAAUGGAUUUAUUAAAAGAAAAGUUGUAUAUGAUGCAACCAGAAGGUUUUGUCAAUCCAAAGGGAGCUAACAAAGUGUGCAAGCUCCAGCGAUCCAUUUAUGGACUGGUGUAAGCCUCUCAGAGUUGGAAUAAACGUUUUGAUAGUGUGAUCAAAGCAUUUGGUUUUAUACAGACUUUUGGAGAAGCCUGUAUUUACAAGAAAGUGAGUGGGAGCUCUGUAGCAUUUCUGAUAUUAUAUGUGGAUGACAUAUUAUUGAUUGGAAAUGAUAUAGAAUUUCUGGAUAGCAUAAAGGGAUACUUGAAUAAAAGUUUUUCAAGAAAAGACCUCAGUAAAAGCUACUUAUAUAUUGAGAAUCAAGAUCUAUAUAGAUAGAUGAAGACGCUUGAUAAGAUUUUUUCAAUGAAUACAUACCUUGAUAAAUUUUUGAAAUAGUUCAAAAUGGAACAAUCAAAGAAGGAGUUCUUGCCUGUGUUGCAAGGUGUUAAGUUGAGUAAGACUCAAAGCCCGACCACGGCAGAAAAUAGAAAGAGAAUGAAAGUCAUUCCCUAUGCCUCAGUCAUAGGUUCUAUAAAGUAUGCCAUGCUGUAUACCAGAUCUAUUGUAUGCCAUACUACUGAGUUUGGCAAGGGAGUACAAUAGUGAUCUAGGAGUAGAUCACUGGAGAGCGGUCAAAAUUGUCCUUAGUGGAAUAAGGAUAUGUUUCUCGAUUAUGGAAAAAGGUUCGUCGUAAAAGGGUACGCCGAUGCAAGUUUGACACUAAUCUAGAUGACUCUAAGUCUUGAUCUAGAUACAUAUUGAAAGUGGGAGCAAUUAGCUAGAGUAGCUCCGUGCAGAGCAUUGUAGACAUAGAAUUCGCAAAAUACUUACGGAUCUGUAUAUGACAUACCCGUUGACUAAGAUUCUCUCACGAGCAAAACAUGAUCACACCUUAGUACUCUUUGGGUGUUAAUCACAUAGCGAUGUGAACUAUGGGUGUUAAUCACAUGGUGAUAUGAACUAUUGCUGUUAAAUCACAUGGCGAUGUGAACUAGAUUAUUGACUCUAGUGCAAGUGGGAGACUGAAGGAAAUAUGCCCUAGAGGCAAUAAUAAAGUUAUUAUUUAUUUCCUUAUAAUCAUGAUAAAUGUUUAUUAUUCAUGCUAGAAUUGUAUUUUCCGGAAACAUAAUACAUGUGUGAAUACAUAGACAAACAGAGUGUCACUAGUAUGCCUCUACUUGACUAGCUCGUUAAUCAAAGAUGGUUAUGUUUCCUAACCAUGAACAAUGAGUUGUUAUUUGAUUAACGAGGUCACAUCAUUAGUAGAAUGAUCUGAUUGACAUGACCCAUUCCAUUAGCUUAGCACCUGAUCGUUUAGUAUGUUGCUAUUGCUUUCUUCAUGACUUAUACAUGUUCCUACGACUAUGAGAUUAUGCAACUCCCGUUUACCGGAGGAACACUUUGGGUACUACCAAACGUCACAACGUAAAUGGGUGAUUAUAAAGGAGUACUACAGGUGUCUCCAAUGGUUGAUGUUGGGUUGGCGUAUUUCGAGAUUAGGAUUUGUCACUCCGAUUGUCGGAGAGGUAUCUCUGGGCCCUCUCGGUAAUGCACAUCACAUAAGCCUUGCAAGCACUGCAACUAAUAUGUUAGUUGUGAGAUGAUGUAUUACGGAACGAGUAAAGAGACUUGCCGGUAACGAGAUUGAACUAGGUAUUGGAUACCGACGAUCAAAUCUCGGGCAAGUAACAUACCGAUGACAAAGGGAACAACGUAUGUUGUUAUGCGGUCUGACCGAUAAAGAUCUUCGUAGAAUAUGUAGGAGCCAAUAUGGGCAUCCAGGUCCCGCUAUUGGUUAUUGACCGGAGACAUGUCUCGGUCAUGUCUACAUUGUUCUCGAACCCGUAGGGUCCGCACGCUUAAGGUUACGAUGACAGUUAUAUUAUGAGUUUAUGCAUUUUGAUGUACCGAAGGAGAUCGGAGUCCCGGAUGAGAUCGGGGACAUGACGAGGAGUCUCGAAAUGGUCGAGACGUAAAGAUCGAUAUAUUGGACGACUAUAUUCGGACAUCGGAAAGGUUCCGAGUGAUUCGGGUAUUUUUCGGAGUACCGGGUAGUUACGGGAGAAGUAAUGGGCCUUGAUGGGCUUUAGUGGGAAGAGGAAAAAGGCUGCUGCGCCCCCCCUCCCCUUUGGUCCGAAUUGGACUAGGGAAAAGGGGGCCGGCCACCUCUCCUUCUCCGCCUAUUCCUUCUCCCUUCCUCCCCUCUUGGUGGACUCCUACUAGGACUUGGAGUCCUAGUAGGACUCCCUAUCCUGGCCGCACCUUUGCCUUGGCCGGCCUCCUCCUCCUCCAUCCUUUAUAUACGGAGGCAGGGGCACCUCUAAACACACAAGUUGACACAAGUUGAUCCACGUGAUCGAUUCCUUAGCCGUGUGCGGUGCCCCCUGCCACCAUAUUCCUCGAUAAUACUGUAGCGGAGUUUAGGCGAAGCCCUGCUGCUGUAGUUCAUCAAGAUCGUCACCACGCCGUCGUGCUGACGAAACUCUUCCCCGACACUUUGCUGGAUCGGAGUCCGGGGAUCGUCAUCGAGCUGAACGUGUGCUCGAACUCGGAGGUGCCGUAGUUUCGGUGCUUGAUCGGUUGGAUCGUGAAGACGUACGACUACUUCCUCUACGUCGUGUCAUUGCUUCCGCAGUCGGUCUGCGUUGGGUACGUAGACAACACUCUCCUCUCGUUGCUAUGCAUCACAUGAUCCUGUGUGCGCGUAGGAAAUUUUUUUUGAAAUUACUUCGAAACCCAACAGUAGCAUCAUGGUGCAUGAGUGCACCGUAAAAGUUCAUACUAAAGUGCUGUUAUUCCUCCCUAAGGUCAUGCCGUCAAGAACUGUAAAUUUCUUUGGAAAAAAAGAUAGAGCUACAAUGCUAUUUUUUGAUAAAAUCGGACUGCCCUAGAUGGAAUUCUAGGAGCUUUACUACAUUGUAGUUGAUCCGGAUAUCUUGGUAGCCAAGGCCCUACGCACUCCCCCACCUUCGAUCACUUUUCGUCGCAAGCUUUCUCCCGCCGAAAGUAACCGUUGGACCAUGUUGUGUGAGAGGCUUGGUUGUGUUAGCCUCUCUAAUGACACAUACACGGUCUCAUGGCGCCUCACAACUUCUCGCCAAAUCGGCAAACUGAUGUACGCCCAAUUUAUGAAGGGUCCUUCGCUGGACGUGGCUAGGGUCCUUUGGAAAGCUAGCUUUGUUGCCUAUCAAAAUUUUCUUGUGGCCAAUGUUUAGAAUAUACUUCUGACCUCUAACAAUGUAGCCAAUCGUAACAGGCACUCUGAUGGGAAUUGCGUGAUUUGUGCUAUUCUAGAAGAUGCUGACCAGACGGCCUUCAGAUGCAAUUAGCCCGCUUCAUGCGGAGUGCCGUUAGGGAAGCCGCGGGCACGAGCUGGAACGCUUCGUCGAGUGCUGAGCUUCUUACGAUCAUCGUCUCAGCUCUGUGUGGGUCGAUUCCGGGCACGAUAUGACAUUGUGUUGGGGCAUUUCUGUGGGCUCUUUGGCAUAUCCGCAACAAAAUUACUAUCAAGGCCAUUUUCCUGGCUCACCCGGUCCUUUCAAAUGCAUUCUCUUCUUUUAGCAAUGGGCAUCAUUGGGGAAGAAUGGGGACACUGAGGACAUGCAGCGGGCACUGAACAAGCUACACCACAUCCAUAGCAUCGCCGGUACUCCGUUCAGAGCCUGCGUGCUCUUGUUGGGCGUUCCUAGUCUUGUAAUCCUCUAGAAUUAUCUUUAACUUGAUUGAACUCCCUUGGUAUGUUUUAGGUUUGUGUUGGGCUUCAUGUACUUUGCUUAUUUUGGGCUUUAUUAAUUGAAUCCGGACACUGUUUGCGUUUUCGUUCUAAAAAAAUGUUACUUGGAUGUAAAAGAAAUUUUCUCUAUUUUUGGUUAAUAAUUAUAUCUUCUGUUUUCUCUACCAGCUUAGAACAUGAAAUUUCCAAUAAGAAAUUCAAACUCAUGAGGAAUUGCAUGGUGUCACAUUGCAUGUUAUGCACACCUCUUCAAAACUAAUCACACCAGUGCUCAUCAUCGGAAAGAUCUGCGUUAAUUAAGGGCCUAUUCAAUCCAUAAUAUUAAAAAAAGUAUGAAAAUGAAAAAAAAGCAAAAUUUUAAGAUGUGCAAAUGAUUCCUACUAAAUGGUCGAAUUCACACUGAAUUAUAGAUUAUUUGAUUAUAACAUAUGAAAAAAAUAUUUUCAAUACAUACUACUCAACGAACAAAGAAAAUAUUAGGAAGAAAAUGUAUAGGACUCAAUCCUACAAAACCAGCAGACCCAUAUAGCAAAAAUCCCUAAUUAUUCUGAUCUUAAAAUUUCAUUAUGAAAUCUUUCGACUCGUAGAGGUCCUAAGUACAUACUCCUAUGUAUUAUUGUUGGAGCUGAUGCAUAUAUUUUCUGAUCUCCCUCAUGGAAGUAUUGAACUUUUCAUAUUUUUCUAAUAUUUCAAGGACCAAAGAUUUUAUGAUGGAAUACUAAGAUGAAGAAGAUUGAAGUAUUGAAAAGAAAAUAUUAAAAUAAUUAUGAAGCUAUUAAAUUAAAAUAACUUAAAAUUAUCUAUGAACACUCACGAAAAAUACGGAAAGUGAACAAAUUCGGUUACACUCUAUAUUUAACCUUAUGUGGAUUAUGAGUGCCCCUUCAUGUGUGAGCGAUUUUAUUUUCUGUAUUAGGUUUGUGAUUUUCUUCUUUGCUUUUUUUCUUUUUUGGCAGUUCUUUUUUUUUUUGCAAAAGAAGUACAGAAGACUUGCAUCAUGUUGAUUAUAUAUUUAUUGAAAAAGUGUGAUGUGUACAAGCUAUCUUACACGCCCAAAGGCCAGGAAGAUAUAAACUUCACAGGUUGAUUUCUAAUUUUCUUUUUUCCUGCUUACUAAGCUUUCCUCGUUAGCGAAAACCACCAUCCAGUUUGUUCUUAGACACCAAAUAUAGAGUUGGGCGGAUAAUUGAAGGAUAAACGUGUUUUCAGAAUUUUUGGUUACUAUCAUAACUAAUGCUCCCCAUGCCAUUCAGCUUAUGGGAAAAUAAUGAAUGCCUACCAACCUUUUCUGCUUGCAUUAAUAAUGCUUUUAGGCCAUAGCCCUUUAUAUACACCACUGCAUCUUCCUCCAGCAGAUUACAACCUUUGCAUGUCCAUUUUAUAUCUUAUAAGAUGUUGAUAGAACUUUUCUUAGUGUUGGUAGCACUAGCUUCGAAAAUCAAAUGGGUGACGGUCACAAAUACAUAUUGAGUAGAGAAUGAGAGAAGAAACAACAGAAUGUUAGAACCAGUGGGAACAGAAGACAUCGGGAGCAGCGUUGGAGACACGGGACAAAGAGUCCGAAGGCAAAUAUGUAUUUGUCGAUCUUCACGAGAGUACAAUGUUAGGUGGCUAAAACCUUGCCAUUUGAAGAAAGCUCGUUGAGGUACCCUGCUACAUGGUAAUUUGGAUUGAUCAUCAGAGUGGUAAUCUGAAAAACAGAUAAUGGAUGUUUAUCAUAUCCUAAUUUUUUUUCUUUAAUCUAGAAAAAAAUAGAUUUCAAAAUGGAGAGCUGAAACAGAUGUUUUAAACUCAUGGCUCGCAACAUGACUUGUUGAAUCUUCAUGGAUCCAAUCACUGUUUGUAUGUUUACAUAUUGGAUCUUUUUGGGUUUGUGUGUCUAAGGGUUCCUGAGUCACACUCCCCCAAGUAGGCAUUCUGCGGUUGUGGAUCUGGAAUAUUUAUCUCAUAAUUUUUUUAGGGCAAUUUAUACGUCAUAACUACAUGAUUCAUUAGGGCGAGUGGGCGUGUAGGUGAUUCAGUCGCGACGAGCGGACGAGCGAUCGGAUUGCGAUAAUGAGCCGGCGACCUAGUUGCACUAUAGGGUCUAUUUGGCGCAAAAGGCGCUAACGUGGAGCUCCCACCAGGGCAUGCAACUCACACCUAGCAGCGAACGCUCUUUGAAGUAGGAUUGCUCAUGUAAAGGUUCUCUCAACCGGGUUUGUGAAAAUUUCAGAACCUUCCUGUUGGGUUUUUUCCUCUUCUGGUUUUUUGUC
This 8007-nucleotide long non-coding RNA is filed under the name Triticum aestivum (bread wheat). RNAcentral's name for it is "long non-coding RNA (TAES_LNC007914)". Lineage: Eukaryota; Viridiplantae; Streptophyta; Magnoliopsida; Poales; Poaceae. The record is from RNAcentral.